Long non-coding RNA from Zalophus californianus (California sea lion), 800 nucleotides. RefSeq lists it as uncharacterized. NCBI's taxonomy places the organism in Eukaryota, Metazoa, Chordata, Mammalia, Carnivora, Otariidae. The record is from RefSeq and is a predicted model, not a curated record. The transcript is spliced from 3 exons.
GGCAAAGGCAUGCUGCAAUAGCAUCGUUCCGAGCAGCUGGGGAUUUGCUCGUAUGGCAGCCUCUCUCGCUGAGAAGUAGAAAGCGAUGGUUACUUCAAGAAGCGGUAUCAAAAUCACUCCAUCAAGAACCCCCAAAGGAGAUUUUCUGAAGUUAUGUUCCCUGCACUACUUCCAUAAUUACAGAGGUCCUGUACUAGCAGCUUCAGUAUCUCCUGGGAUCUCGUUAGCAAUGCAAAUAUUUGGACCCCAUCACAGACCUACUGAAUCAGAAACUCUGGGAAUGGGGACAGCAAUCCAUGUUUACUGAGCUCUCCAGGAAAUUCUGAUGCACAAGAUGUGAUGCAGGACAACACUUUGAGAACCACUGUUCUAGAGCAACCCUCAAGCACGCAAAUAAGAAUUUAUGUACAAGAAUGUUCACAGAAGCAUUUUUUGGUAAAAGCAAAAAACUAUAGUAAUCCAAACAGUCAUGGAAGAUAGAAUGAAAAAGAAACUGCAAAUAUGUUUCUAGAAUACUCUGGAGCAGGGAAAGUGAAUGAACAGCAGGGAGGUGCCUCCAUUUGAAUGAAUAUCAGAAAACACAACAUUGAGUAAAAAAUGUAAGUUGGAGAAGAAAGUGUAUAGUGUAAUACAAUUUAUUAGAGUUCAAAAGCAUACAAAAUUAAGCUAUAUAUUGCUUAACAGUAAGUGGACUUAUAUUAGAAAGUCAAGGUGUUGAUAAAACUCAAUAUAGUCUGAAUGAAGGGGGGAAAUUGGAAGGGGAGAUGAACCAUGAGAGACUGUGGACUCUGAAAAACAAA